RNAcentral lists this ribosomal RNA (253 nucleotides) under uncultured bacterium. RNAcentral's name for it is "partial 16S ribosomal RNA". It matches the Rfam family "Bacterial small subunit ribosomal RNA", at positions 524 to 776 of the family's 1533-position model. The record is from RNAcentral.
UACGUAGGAUGCAAGAGGUGUCCGGCUUUAUUGGGUUUACAGGGUGCGUGGGCGGCCUAUUAAGUUAGUGGUGAAAACGAUCGGCUUAACCGGAUACCCGCCAUUGAUACUGAUAGACUUGAGUGCGACAGAGGGUGUUGGAAUGUGUGGUGUAGCGGUGAAAUGCUUAGAUAUCACGCAGAACACCAAUUGCGAAGGCAGAUGCCUAUGUCGUAACUGACGCUGAGGCACGAAAGCGUGGGGAGCAAACAGG